AACCUAGCACACCUGCGGUGUGUACCUGCGGAGGGAUCAUUACCUAGAGUUGUAGGCUUUGCCUGCUAUCUCUUACCCAUGUCUUUUGAGUACCUUACGUUUCCUCGGUGGGUUCGCCCGCCGGUUGGACAAAACUUAAACCCUUUGUAGUUGCAAUCAGCGUCUGAAAAAACUUAAUAGUUACAACUUUCAACAACGGAUCU
Molecule: unclassified non-coding RNA, 203 nt
Filed under: soil metagenome
Description: partial contains 5.8S ribosomal RNA, internal transcribed spacer 2, and large subunit ribosomal RNA
Source: RNAcentral